GUUUGGUUAAGUUAGAAAGGGCGCACGGUGGAUGCCUUGACACUAGGAGUCGAUGAAGGACGGGACUAACGCCGAUAUGCUUCGGGGAGCUGUAAGUAAGCUUUGAUCCGAAGAUUUCCGAAUGGGGAAACCCACUAUACGUAAUGGUAUGGUAUCCUUACCUGAAUACAUAGGGUAUGGAAGACAGACCCAGGGAACUGAAACAUCUAAGUACCUGGAGGAAGAGAAAGCAAAUGCGAUUUCCUGAGUAGCGGCGAGCGAAACGGAAUCUAGCCCAAACCAAGAGGCUUGCCUCUUGGGGUUGUAGGACAUUCUAUACGGAGUUACAAAGGAACGAGGUAGACGAAGCGACCUGGAAAGGUCCGUCACAGAGGGUAACAACCCCGUAGUCGAAACUUCGUUCUCUCUUGAAUGUAUCCUGAGUACGGCGGA
This 432-nucleotide ribosomal RNA is filed under the name Bacillus velezensis. Its description in RNAcentral is "bacterial LSU rRNA". It matches the Rfam family "Bacterial large subunit ribosomal RNA", at positions 1 to 421 of the family's 2925-position model. The record is from RNAcentral. Lineage: Bacteria; Bacillati; Bacillota; Bacilli; Caryophanales; Bacillaceae.